Molecule: long non-coding RNA, 232 nt
Filed under: Nicotiana benthamiana
Lineage: Eukaryota; Viridiplantae; Streptophyta; Magnoliopsida; Solanales; Solanaceae
Description: long non-coding RNA (NBEN_LNC019020)
Source: RNAcentral
CAAUGACAGUAAAAUUUUACUUACAGUCAUACGUGUACACAUUGUCUCAUUCAACUCUUGCAUCUCUUGGUAUUUUUUCCCAAACGUUUUGUAUGUCUGUGUAGCUUCUUUGCGGUUACUACAAUUCCAACGUCCCAACAUUUUCCUAACUUCUUCGAGGAGGUCGUAUAUUGGCAAUUCCUUUGCUGAAACUAGUGCGACAUUGAUGGACACAAUGAAACUGGUGAAAGUA